RNAcentral lists this long non-coding RNA (649 nucleotides) under Androctonus crassicauda. The record is from RNAcentral. Lineage: Eukaryota; Metazoa; Arthropoda; Arachnida; Scorpiones; Buthidae.
AUGAUGAUGAUGCUUUGUUAGUCUUAUCUAAAUACAAAGCUCAACAACUAAAGAUAGAGUCAGAGACUGUUUGUUAAUGAUCAUGGACUCAUGAUAAAAAGGUUAUAAAUUUCAAAACUUAUACAAUGCAACAAUGAAUAAUUUAUUAAAUUAUGAAUUGCUGAUUGUGCAAACACUGUUACCGGAUUGUUGGAAUUUUCCAUCAUAUCUGUUUGAAAUUAAAAACAGCAUUGCUUUCAACCUCUAUUUUUUUAUUUUUAAAGUCACUAUAUGGGCAUUACCUUUCCUUUUCAAACACUUCAAAGAAAACCAGGACUUCAUGUGUUUUGGAAAGAUUUUCCUGAGACCUACGAUUUAAAGUGUCAAAAUGAGACAAUCUCAUGCAAGCCAGGAUGGUUAGUCACCCUACUGAGAAAUUUCUAUAUUAAUAUCCAUCUAUAUGGUAACAACUAUUAUCUAUAUGGUUUAAUGUAAGUUUAAUACUCAAGUUUUUAUUAAAUAACAUUAUAGGAAUUAUAAUAUUAUAGGAAUUCAUUAGUUGAAUCUUCCCAUGGAAUAUUGACCUACAUAUCUAAUAUACAACUGAAAUUAAUUUCUCAGAGAUGGCAAAAUCCUUUGCUCCUGUUCUCUUAUGUUAAUUAUACUUUAG